UACGGAGGAUGCAAGCGUUAUCCGGAAUGAUUGGGCGUAAAGCGUCCGCAGGUGGCUGUGUAAGUCUGCUGUUAAAGAGUGAGGCUCAACCUCAUAAAGGCAGUGGAAACUACAUAGCUAGAGUGCGUUCGGGGCAGAGGGAAUUCCUGGUGUAGCGGUGAAAUGCGUAGAGAUCAGGAAGAACACCGGUGGCGAAGGCGCUCUGCUAGGCCGCAACUGACACUGAGGGACGAAAGCUAGGGGAGCGAAUGGG
RNAcentral lists this ribosomal RNA (253 nucleotides) under uncultured bacterium. Its description in RNAcentral is "partial 16S ribosomal RNA". It matches the Rfam family "Bacterial small subunit ribosomal RNA", at positions 524 to 776 of the family's 1533-position model. The record is from RNAcentral.